GACGAAGGGGGCUAGCGUUGUUCGGAAUUACUGGGCGUAAAGGGCGCGUAGGCGGCCUGUUAAGUCGAACGUGAAAUCCCCGGGCUCAACCCGGGAACUGCGUCCGAUACUGGCAGGCUUGAAUCCGGGAGAGGGAUGUGGAAUUCCACGUGUAGCAGUGAAAUGCGUAGAGAUGUGGAGGAACACCGAUGGCGAAGGCAGCCCCCUGGGCUAACACUGACGCUCAUGCACGAAAGCGUGGGGAGCAAACAGG
RNAcentral lists this ribosomal RNA (253 nucleotides) under uncultured bacterium. Its description in RNAcentral is "partial 16S ribosomal RNA". It matches the Rfam family "Bacterial small subunit ribosomal RNA", at positions 524 to 776 of the family's 1533-position model. The record is from RNAcentral.